CCGGGGGAUUAGUGGGGGCCAGGAGCAGCCCACUCUGCUUCCCUCGCCCCGGCCCCAGCCGUGUCACUCGGGGUAUGGGGGAAGGGAUCCACCCCCGCCCUCGGCAGAAGCGGAGCAGCCCGGCCCCAGCCCGUUCCGCUCUGCCAGAUCCCAGCCGUAGAGCUCCGCUUCCCGCUGCAGGUGAGUGCGGGACCUUUCCCCAACCCCACCCUCCCAGCGACACAGCUGGGGCUCGGGCAAGGGCAAGGAAAGCGGAGCGGGCUGGGGCUGCAUCGCUCUGCUUCCCGCUGCCUGUGAGUUUGGGGGGCACCAUUUUCCCAACCUCCCCACACUCACCAGCAGCAGGAAGUGGAGCAGCCCAGCCCCAGCCUGCUCUACUCCAUCAGUUCCCAGCCGCGUUGCUCUGCGUCCUGCCGCAGGACUGUCAACAUGGCACCUUUUGAAGAUGAUCCUGUCCUCAAAUGUUUCCAGAAAGGAGGUUUCAGAAUUGGGAUGCAUGAAUUAUGUUAUUGCUUCUUAAGAGGAAACAGCUGCUGCUGUUCAUGCAAUAACAACGAUAAAGCCUCAUGUACACAUUUCGAGAAAUUUCCAAGAGGUUGAUUGUGACCACUGACAGGAACUCACAGGCUUGCAGCAUGAAUGGGAGGUAGAAGGGGAACCAUGGGGAAAAAGAGGAAACAUUCACUUGAAGAUGAAACUAAAAGAAAAAAUAGCUAGGCUACUGCUUAGCUAACAGCUUAAAAGUUAUAAUACUUGAUAUUGGGAGAAAGAGGGCUGGUAAGUACAUGGACUGGCUUGAAUCCUUCUUUCUUAUGUGGCUCAAUAGCUGUGAAGCUACUUACUUCCCCCUCCUGUAUAUAAGCUGGAACUAUUGACAUGGGUGGCAGGCAAAGCUUCCCCUGGGGGAGGCUAGCUUCCUGUCCUGCCUUUUCUGCUCAUGGCCCCACCCACACUCCAGCCCCGCUCUGACCCAGGCCUCGCUCCCGCUCCUACCCAGGCCUCACCCCCUCCCCUGCUCCGCUCAGCCCCCCCACGGCUGCUCGCUGCAUCUCUUCUCUCCUCCAUCUCCCCUCCCACGCGAGGCCACCCACUGCAUCCCUUCUCCCGCCCCCGCCACCACGAGACCCUCCUUCCCACAAUGUCCCUCCCCUCCUCAGCCCAGGAGACCUGGAAUAUCAAAGGCAGUGAUACAGUACUGUAGAAUGGACACGGGUACUCUGGAUUAAGGAUUUAAUUAUAAGAAUUCUCAACUAGUUUAAAACUGAAAUUAUUUCUGAUUAUGGUAAAAUAAAGAUCUUUGUAAUCUAACUCCA
This 1313-nucleotide long non-coding RNA is filed under the name Gopherus agassizii (Agassiz's desert tortoise). RNAcentral's name for it is "lncRNA (ENSGAGG00000018249.1)". The record is from RNAcentral. Lineage: Eukaryota; Metazoa; Chordata; Testudines; Testudinidae.